AUGGGGGAAAUCAUCAUGGUUGUAAAUCAUGGAAUACCAGAUGAGGUCAUCAUGGGUAUGAAGCAUGACAUUCAGAAGUUUUUUCAACUCCCCCUCGAUGUUAAGAAUGCAUAUGCUCAGCGGCAAGGGGAUCUUCAAGGUUAUGGUCAAGCGUUUGUUGUCUCUAAUGAUCAAAAGUUAGAAUGGGCUGACAUGUUUGCACUCUUCGCCCAACCACCCGAAGCCCGUGAUAUGAGUUACUGGCCAUGUGAACCUCAUACUUUCAGGAAUUUUAUUGAAAAGUACUCUUCGGAGGUGAUGAAACUUGCUCAUUCUCUUGGCAUCUUCGUUGCAAAAACACAAGAUCUUAAUCCCAAAUUGGUUGAAGACAAACAUGUGGCGCAAUUUCUCAGGAUGGGCUACUACCCUCCAUGCAUGCCAAUGCCAGAAAAGGUUCUAGGCUUCACACCGCAUUCUGAUAUGUCAUUUCUAACUAUUCUACUGGAAGUUAAUUCAGUUCAAGGCAUACAAAUUAGAAGGCAUGGUGCAUGGAUACCCGUGAAACCAUGUCGCAACGCACUAUUGGUGAAUGUGGGUGACCUUCUUGAGGUAUGCUUCUUG
RNAcentral lists this ribosomal RNA (600 nucleotides) under Triticum aestivum (bread wheat). RNAcentral describes it as "partial small subunit ribosomal RNA". Lineage: Eukaryota; Viridiplantae; Streptophyta; Magnoliopsida; Poales; Poaceae. The record is from RNAcentral.